Molecule: unclassified non-coding RNA, 646 nt
Filed under: Hevea brasiliensis (rubber tree)
Lineage: Eukaryota; Viridiplantae; Streptophyta; Magnoliopsida; Malpighiales; Euphorbiaceae
Source: RNAcentral
AAGCCAGUCUUGACAAAUCCACGGGCGAAAAAGAAAGAAAUCACAAUUAACCAGAUGACUUCAUUCGUGAAGGCACUAAAGGCGCUUGAAAAGGUUAGAGUCUUGGUCAAAACUGAGGUUGUAAGUCCAAGAAAAGCCCAUGCACCUACUGGCAAUGGGCUGAGGACCAAACCAGCGAUUGUUGAGAGGAAAAUGGAGAGCAAUUGCCAUGCUUGAGGAGAAACUUCAGGUGGUCUUGGAACCAAGAAUCGGACUAUAAGACCAAUUGAAACAGAAAUAAUCAAAGGAAUGAGCUUCGCACCCUGGGUUUUGGGCUUUACAUCUACAAUUACCACCUUAUCUGAUUCAGGGGAUGAAGAAGCAGUGAUGGGUUUAGGAGACGGUGGAUUUCUUGAAGUGGGUUUUGAAAGGGGAUUAAAAAGGAAAGGUUUGGGAUGAAAAAGAUUGAAUCUUGGACCAGUAAGAUUGAAUCUUGAACCGGAAUUAGAUGAUCGAAGGGAGGAAACUUGACGGAGAGCAGCGGUAGGAAUGGCGAAGGAACGUGAUCGCAGAUGGUGAUAGGAGAGACGAGAGAAAGAUGUGGUGGCGGCUGCGGCGGCAGAGGUGGCUGAAGAUGGAGAGUGAAGUGCCAAUCUCUCCAUUUUUU